GAUGAACGCUGGCGGCGUACCUAAUACAUGCAAGUCGAGCGAACAGACGAGGAGCUUGCUCCUCUGACGUUAGCGGCGGACGGGUGAGUAACACGUGGAUAACCUACCUAUAAGACUGGGGUAACUUCGGGAAACCGGAGCUAAUACCGGAUAAUAUAUUGAACCGCAUGGUUCAAUAGUGAAAGACGGUUUUGCUGUCACUUAUAGAUGGAUCCGCGCCGCAUUAGCUAGUUGGUAAGGUAACGGCUUACCAAGGCAACGAUGCGUAGCCGACCUGAGAGGGUGAUCGGCCACACUGGAACUGAGACACGGUCCAGACUCCUACGGGAGGCAGCAGUAGGGAAUCUUCCGCAAUGGGCGAAAGCCUGACGGAGCAACGCCGCGUGAGUGAUGAAGGUCUUCGGAUCGUAAAACUCUGUUAUUAGGGAAGAACAAAUGUGUAAGUAACUAUGCACGUCUUGACGGUACCUAAUCAGAAAGCCACGGCUAACUACGUG
RNAcentral lists this ribosomal RNA (497 nucleotides) under uncultured bacterium. RNAcentral describes it as "partial 16S ribosomal RNA". It matches the Rfam family "Bacterial small subunit ribosomal RNA", at positions 28 to 507 of the family's 1533-position model. The record is from RNAcentral.